Molecule: unclassified non-coding RNA, 232 nt
Filed under: Glomus sp.
Lineage: Eukaryota; Fungi; Glomeromycota; Glomeromycetes; Glomerales; Glomeraceae
Description: partial contains 5.8S ribosomal RNA and internal transcribed spacer 2
Rfam family: 5.8S ribosomal RNA (bases 1-65)
Source: RNAcentral
GUGAAUCAUCAAAUUUUUGGACGCAAAUUGCACUCUCUUCGGAGAGUAUGCCUGUUUGAGGGUCAGCCUAAAAAAAAUCGACGUAGUCGCUGUUUCGCGGUGACAUUUGUCGGUAAUUGGGUCAUCUUAAACCUUUGGGUUUUUUAAGAGGCUGAAAAUUUUCUUUACGAUUCAACGAACGUUUCUAAGAUUUACUUCUUGGGUUUAAGGUAUCGAUAUUUUUUAGACGUGU